This 10094-nucleotide long non-coding RNA is filed under the name Fragaria vesca (wild strawberry). Its description in RNAcentral is "long non-coding RNA (FVES_LNC002053)". Lineage: Eukaryota; Viridiplantae; Streptophyta; Magnoliopsida; Rosales; Rosaceae. The record is from RNAcentral.
CAUAUAUGUUAUUAUUCUUAUGGCAGUUUUGAUGUUUUACGUACUGAUGGAGUUCCAGUUUUGAUUAUUUUGGACUAACUCAUCCAUAGUUUGUGCUGAAAAGAAAGAAACACUAUCAUGAAGAAAAAGAAAGAAAACAAAAAAUAACAAAAAAAGAGGCCUUCACUAUUCGGUACGUGUUCACUUGAAAUUUUCAUUGAAGAGAAAAUGCAUAUAUAAUUAAAUUCCAAAGCCCAACGAAGUACAAUCUAAAAAAAAAAAAAAACCUAAGAACUAAUGAUGGAAGCUUGAAAUUCUCAUCCAUGUUCCAUCUGUCUAGGCCUAGUUUGCUCGCUUUCUGCCUGAGACAUGUAAAAACAAGCCAUGGGGGGUUAAAUCUAACAAUCCAUGCAGAAUGUGCAAUCCAAUUUAUGGAGUCCUUCAAGUCCAAGUAGUCUCUACUGCCAGGUUUUGGAGGAUUAAUUAGGCAUUGUCACCUUCAGCAUGCAACUGUGUAGUGUCGAUGGUAUUCCUGAAAGAUUCUAGAAUGAUGAGAGCUUAUGAAUCACGAGUACAGAGCCACACCACCUUGCAGCGGCCGAAUCUUGUAAGGAAAUCCAUCAGUGCAUAAAAAUUUGUCGAGUUUGACAAGAACCAUUCUUCAUCCCAAAGUUCUGAUACCGAAAUAAUGGAUUCCUAAUGUAUGGAAUUGUGUUAUAAUAGAAACUUUGGCUUCCAAUAAACCGUUAGAAUACAAAAGGAUCGAGAUUUUGGGUAUUGAUGGUGGCCUUGAGUUCACGAUGGCAUUGCAAGUGUAGUUGCCCGAGAUGGUCAACACAGAUGUCGAUCGUUUUCAACUUAGUGGCAUCGAACACCGCUACACGCCUACACCUUCACAUUCUGGUAAAACACAUGUAAGAGAUUUGAGAUGUUAGAAAAUUUGGGUCACCCUCUGAAUUCCCUAGCCCAAGACCGAAACUGAAUGAAAACAAUAACCAGAAACAAUGUAACACGAACACAAGAUAUUUAACGAGGUUCAAUCAAAUCCACAUGACAUACGUCCUCGGGUGAUGAUGAUGGAUCCACUAAACGAGAAGAAGAUUAUAACUGAAGAACAAUUUGGUUCUUCCACCCUCAAAUAAUAUUUCUCCUCACACUCUAGACUCUCAAAUACAUCUGAUCUCACAUGGCUUGCAACUCUCAAGAUCAGAACUCUCAAAUGAUCUACAUCACACCACACCUAAAACUAUGUCUCUAAGGUCCUAUUUAUAGAUUCACAAUUAGUCCAACUUACAAUAGGAUUGAGAACCAUAGCAGGAUUCCUAAAUCUUUACUCCUAAGGAUAAACUCCAAGAAUCUUAGAUACACUAGAAUAUCUCACCCAAAGCCUUAAGAAGUAAAGAAUCCAAAGCAUACAAAGAAUCAGUUUUGAGUCGUAACCCUAAAAAUUUUCCUUCGGCUCAAAAUUUUCAUCCUUCCUUUAAACGCAAGCUUUCUUGGGCCUUCUCAACUAGCCACGAUUACCACCACACCUCAAUGCGCUACAUGGCGCUCUCAACAGCAAGACGAGUUAGCCAAGUUUGAGAAACACUCAAACUUAACCCUUGGACACGAACAUUUUCCUUCAAACAUGCACAACGCGGCCACUUGCAUGCAAUCCAAGUCUCCACUAAAGUUGCCAAACCUAAUGGGAGCGAUCUUUAAUGGUUUGCACAACUCACCACGAGCAACAUUCCUCUGAACAUAUUCUCCACCAUAAAUGGUACCUUCUCUAGACACAUCACUCUUAAAACACUAAGUUUACUUCUAAACUUUCUCACCAGGUGACACCUCAAUUGUGGAAUAUGCAUGAGGUAGUAUACUUGUGUCGGGAUUCUUAUGGGUCUGCCUCUCUUUAAGGAUUGCUGCAAUGUUGGUUGCUCCUCAAAUUUCACAUUCUUAGAAGCAAAUUUCGUUCCUCCGCAUUUACUAUUGCUCACCUCCUAAGACCAUCGUCGAUUCUUCUUCCAUGGACAAUUUCUUUUUCCUUUGUAAUCUUUUACUAUCGAACCAUGUUUCUUUUGUGUGAUUUUGCAGCUAUGCUUGGCUAAACUCUUUUGUUAGGGGUGGAGGUUUGAAGCCCCAAAUUAUGCAGUAAACCUUGAUUUCAUAAUUGCUUAGUUGUGAAUUGUCUAUUUGGUUUUGGUUUACAAAUAUCUCUUGCUUGUUUAUGUUCAUGGAUGCAUACAUAUAAUAUUAUGAACUUGUGAGUGAGGCUAGAAUUAGGUAGUUUAAUCUUCUAAACGGUUCAUAUGGCUUAAUUCAAAGUAGUAAAACUUAUGGGACGAUAUGUGAAACCAAAUAGAGAAACUUGCAUGCUAGGUAGACGUUCCACACUAGUUUUGUAUACUUGUUUAAUCAAACUUUCAUUGAUCUUAAUGCUUGGAAUAAUUUGUUGAUGGGAUAGCGUAUAUACCUUGAUUGAUUAUUCUAAAGGUUUGGUAACGAUGCGUUCAUCUUGCUUAAGUAGUUAAGGAAAAUAGUAAGAAUUUAUGCAGUGCAUUCACGGUUUUUCUUAAACUAUCAAUAUGAAAAUAUUUAAUCAAGAAUAAACUGUGAACGCACCGCAUAAAUUAUUAGAGUGCGGCUAUUGGGACCUUCAAAUUUGCUCAGUAUACUUCUCAUUCUCUCUACACCUAUUUUUUACUUUUCAAUAUAAGUAUUUUCUCACUAGACCUCAUUUCAAAUUUCUAAUAUAACCUUAGUUAUUUAUUGACAUAUAUUUCAAUUAAUUACUUACUUUAACUCUUAUUCACUCAAAAGACCUCUCAUUUGUUUUUCUUUUUUUACCUUUUUGUUUUUGAACAUCCAUUAUCCCUACCUUCAUUUUUUGAUUAUUUUUUUCAUGCAAGAAAAUGUUUUAUCAUGAAUUAUUCUAUAUAUCUUUUUAACUUUUAUUUUUCUUUUUUGUACGUCAUAAUAAAUUAUUUUAAUAAAUAUAUAUUUUCUAUAAUCAAUAUAUAUAUAUUUUACAAAAAUAUUUGUGCACCUUGCAAGUAUAUGCGUUUAACAUGUAUGAUAAUGCAAAAUUUUAUGUCACAUGAUCGAUAUUUGAUCAUUGUUUUAGUUUCUUUUGAACUAUAUAUGUAUAUAUACAUAUAUAUAUAUAUAUAUAUAUAUAAAUAUUAUAUAUAUGCUUUAAUAAAAAGAAAUUAGAAAACGAAAAUAUAUAAGGAAAAUAAUAAAGAAUGUAAUCAAUUAUUAUUAAAUUGGAAAGUCUAGAGAGAAUAAAUAUAAUAUUUCCUUUUGUAUAAUUAUUGUCCUUAAUAGUCAUUGUGUAUGAGGAUAUAUAUGUCAUUUAAUAAUUCACAAUCGAGUGAGGUCUAGUGAGCAAAUUUAGAGGUCCCAAUAGCCGCACUCAAAUUAUUACUACUUCCUUUAACUACUUAAGCAAGAUGAACACAUCGUUACCAAACCUUUAGAAUAAUCGAUCAAGGUAUAGACACUAUCCUAUCAACAAAUUAUUCCAAGCGCACAUUAAGAUCAAUGCAAGUUUGAUUGAACAAGUAUGCAAAACUAGUGUGGAACGCCUACCUAACAUGCAAGUCUCUCUAUUUGGUUUCACUUAUCGUCCCAUUGGUUUUACUACUUUGAAUUAAGCUAUAUUAACCGUUUAAAAGAUUAAACUACCUAAUUAUAGCCUCACUCACAAGUUCGUAAUGUUCUAUGUAUGCAUCCAUGAACAUAAACAAGCAAAAGAUAUAUGUAAACCAAAAAUAAAUAGACAAUUCACAACUAAGCAAUUAUGAAAUCAAGGUUGUGAAAUAAGAUUUAUUGCAUAAUUUGGGGCUUCAAACCUCCACCCCUAACAAAAGAGUUUAGCCAAGCAUGACUACAAAAUCAUAACAAAAAAACAUGGUUCGAAAGUAAAAGAUUACAAAGGAAAAAGAAACCGUGGAUGGAAGAAGAAUCGACGAUGGUCUUGGCAGGAAUCAACAUUUACGAUCCAUCAUCUCAAGAUCAUAAAUGUCAAUCGAUCUACACCACACCUAAAACUAUGUUUCUAAGGUCCUAUUUAUAGACUCAUUACGAUCCAUCAUCUCAGAUCAUAAAUGUCAAUUGAUCUACACCACACCUAAAACUAUGUCUCUAACGUCCUAUUUAUAGACUCAUAAUUAGUCUGACUUAUAAUAGGAUUUAGAACCAUAUCAUGAAUCGAUCCUAAACCUUUACUCCUAAGGAUAAACUUCAAGAAUUCUAGAUACACUAGAAUAACUUAACCAAAAUUUACAAAAGUAAAAAAUCUAAAGCAUACAAGGAAUCAGUUUUGAGUCGUAACCUAAUAUGAGAUUCAUAGCUUCUUCGACACAAACAAUCAUGAGCUCCUCACAAUCCUUAAUUUCCAAGCACUUCAGACUUGAACUUUUCACAAAACAUCUAUGGUCAUGCUGGUACUUAAAAGAACAUGCAGUUAAUGACAAGUACUCGAUGGAAGAGGACUCCCUUAGUAGAGGGAAGAAACUAUAUGCAUAGAGUAUCACAGCUGUGAGGAACACGGUUUUCAAAGAGAGGAGAAUGGUGUGAUAUAUAUGAGGUUCAAUUUUGUAUCGAAUGUCCCAGAUGGUCACAUACUCCAAUUUUAGACUUGUACGUUAAAGAUUUCACAUUAACAAAGGUCCUCCAUUGUAUACAGUACUGGCAGGGGUUGUCGGAAUUCUCCACUGUGACCGGGCGCUGAUUAAGCAUAUCAUCCUCUUCGUAUUAGUCCCUACCGAAAAUUGGACUUUAAUUGAGUUGAAGUGAGGCCGUUUUUAUAGUUGAAAUGAUUGUUCAAAUUUGGCCUCAAUCAAACGUGUUUGUAAAACUUUAGCCCUCCAUAAAACUUUUUUGUAACAGACCAUUGCCAUGAUUGGAGAUGAGUUUUGUGCAAUUAUGGGAGAUGAGUUUUGUGCAAUUAUGGGCUUUGGAUCUUCUAUUGGAGAACGCUUAACAAGCUAAUAUUAAACUCUACAACACCUAAGAUUUUUUUUUAAAAACUGGGCUCCGGUUCAUUAGACGCUUUAUUUUAUCCAAAUUUUUACAUUAUCUUUAAGUUAUUAGAUACUUUAAAUGGUCUACAUUGGUUUCAAGUAUGACAUGGCAAAUGAUAUGAAAUCAAUAUAUAUAUAUAUAUAUAUAUAUAUGAAAUCAAUAUAUAUAUAUAUAUAUAUAUGCAGUUCCAACCCAAAAAAUGAAAGAAAAUAAGAUCUAAUAAAUUGAUUUUAGGAAAACUUAAAAUUUAGUUAAGUUUUAAAGGUAAAAGUUUAAAAAUUUUUUUUUUAAAAAAAGUUAAAUAGUAACGUUACUAUCUUCUGUAGUGUAUAACGUUUCUUACUUAAACUAAUUGUGAGGACAUUGCAGGUCAUCAUGCACGCCAUAUUCUUCUAUUUCUUUCUUUCGAGUGUAAUAAAAUACAAUAUCCUCAAUUGUUCCCUUUUCGUUUCCUACUCAAUACCUAACUAGUAAUUAGUAUAAGCUUCUAUAUAUAUAUGUGUAUAUAUAUAUAUAUAUAUAUAUAUUCCUUUUAGGUCUUUAUUGGUUUUCAUAUACCCCUCUUAUUUCUUUUAGGGCAAAAUCACAACAUAUCAUUCAUUCUAUAUGAAAACAAUUAUGUGGCUUUUAUUUUUCUCUCUCAAUCUCAAUAAUUUUUAUUGAAUAUCGUCAGAAUAUGCUUUCAAUUUCAAAAUUAUCGUUAUAUCAUUGACGCAAUCUACUUGAAUAAUAUUGUAUAAACUUGGGGAGAGAGAGAGAGAGAUUUCCUCUUUUCUAAGUAUAAGAAGAAGAAGAAAACAUCAUUCAUGUAUCUUUUAAUUUUUAUUUGUCAACAUAAAAUCUUUAUCAUUUAUGUAUUAGCUUCAAUUUUUUUAGAAGAAAACAUCAUUCAUGUAUCUUUUAAUUUUUAUUUGUCAACAUAAAAUCUUUAUCAUUUAUGUAUUAGCUUCAAUUUUUUUUUAUCAGUUAAACAACUCAAAUGUAACGAGUAUUUUGUGACUCAAACUCAUAGCCUCCCACUUAUAAAAAUGAGACUAUACCGUUAGACUAAAUGAUACUUGACAUAUUCAAAAAAAAUUUGAAAAAAAAUUGAUUUCAUGUUGUUUGAUUAAUCUAAACCAUUCAAAGUACUUUAAUCCAAUGACUGAAAAAUAAUGUAAAGUUUGUGCAAAAUAAAGUGUUCCUUAAAACCAGACCCAAAAUUAAUAGUGAAAGAGUGUAAUAAUUGCGAUUUCUAGCAUAACUAUGUCAACCACCAAGAAUCAAGAUUCAAGCCGAAUGAUUCAUUGUUAAUUUUUCUCAACCCAACCCAAUGUGUCGACAACCGACACCAGAUCUACGUACAGGGGAUUCCAAUGGUGGGAAGGGCCCCCAUUCUGGCCGAGAACUCCCCAAGGAGCUCUCGGUAGCCACUGUUUCUCAAUGGUGGCUAUUGGAGCACCUAUGGCUCUUCUGGCUGGUGACUGUAGUCGCCGUUAUCACCAUCAUAGCUGGUGUUUGCAGAUAUUUCAAUAACAUAAUCAAUGAGCUCAAGAUUUGUUUGACUUGUUUGUGGGGUGACGAGGACGAGGAGGUAAGACCAUUGCAACCACAGCCGCAGAUUUGUACAUCCAAAGCGUUAAGGUAAACUUCAUAACAAACAUAAACUCAGCGGUGCAACGAAUCAACUCCUGCGGUAACUCUAUGAGGAGGGGUACUGUCACUCCCGUGAGGUAAGGAGCCAGUUCUACUGUGGAUAAAGCCGAGAACUCUGAACGCCAAGUUGGAACCAGCAGAAGAUCGUUGAUCUUUUCAGGGAUAUAAGAAGUUGAGAGAGUGUCCCCGAAUAUUGCUCUUGCUAAAAUCUAUUACGAGUCCACUAUGUGGUAAAAUAGUAACAUCAUCUGUGAUUAUUAUCUUUUUUUAUAUUGUUAUUUGUUAUUAAUUUUUUGCUAACAUCAUCUAUGGAAGAAACUUAAUGAGGUGAGACUUGAGAUUUUGAGAGUACCUUUAGAAAAAAAUUCUGUAAUUACACAAGCAGAAUUACUACUUAAAAAAAAAAACCCAAGGAUGUUUGAACUUCCUGUCUUGAUGAAGCAUUCUUUGGUUUCACCAGGCAACUGCAAUUGUGGAAUAUGCAUGAGGUAACAUACUCGUGUCGGGAUCCAUACGGGUCUGCCUCAUUUUAAGGAUUGCUACAAUGUUGGUUGCUCCUCAAAUUUCACCUUCUUAGAAGCAAAUUCGUUCCUCCGCAUUUACUAUUGCUCACCUCCUAAGACCAUCGUCGAUUCUUCUUCCAUGAACAAUUUCUUUUUCCUUUGUAAUCUUUUACUUUCGAACCAUGUUUCUUUUGUGUGAUUUUGCAGCUAUGCUUGGCUAAACUCUUUUGUUAGGGGUGGAGGUUUGAAACCCCAAAUUAUGCAAUAAACCUUAAUUUCAUAAUUGCUUAGUUGUGAAUUGUCUAUUUGGUUUUGGUUUACAAAUAUCUCUUGCUUGUUUAUGUUCAUGGAUGCAUACAUAGAACAUUAUGAACUUGUGAGUGAGGCUAGAAUUAGGUAGUUUAAUCUUCUAAACGGUUCAUAUGACUUAAUUCAAAGUAGUAAAAUCUAUGGGACGAUAGGUGAAACCAAAUAGAGAAACUUGCAUUCUAGGUAGACGUUUCACACUAGUUUUGCAUACUUGUUCAAUCAAACUUUCAUUGAUCUUAAUGCUUGGAAUAAUUUGUUGAUGGGAUAGCGUAUAUACCUUGAUUGAUUAUUUUAAAGGUUUGGUAACGAUGCGUUCAUCUUGCUUAAGUAGUUAAAUGAAAUAGUAAGAAUUUAUAUNNNNNNNNNNNNNNNNNNNNNNNNNNNNNNNNNNNNNNNNNNNNNNNNNNNNNNNNNNNNNNNNNNNNNNNNNNNNNNNCACUAUCAACAUGAAAAUGUUCAAUCCAGAAUAAACCGUGAACGCACUGCAUAAAUUCUUACUACUUCCUUUAACUACUUAAGCAAGAUGAACACAUCAUUAUCAAGCCUUUAGAAUUAUCGAUCAAGGUAUAUAUACUAUCCUAUCAACAAAUUAUUCCAAGCAUUAAGAUCAAUGCAAGUAUGAUUGAACAAAUAUGCAAAACUAGUGUGGAACGCCUACCUAGCAUGCAAGUCUCUCUAUUUGGUUUCACCUAUCAUCUCAUAGGUUUUUACUACUUUGAAUUAAGCCAUAUUAACUGUUUAGAAGAUUAAACUGCUAAUUUUAGCCACACUCGCAAGUUCGUAAUGUUUUAUAUAUGCAUCCAUGAACAUAAACAAACAAGAGAUAUCUGUAAACUAAAACCAAAUAAACAAUUCACAACUAAGCAAUUAUGAAAUCAAGGUUGUGAAACAAGGUUUAUUGCAUAAUUUGGGGCUUCAAACCUCUACCCCUAACAAAAGAGUUUAGCCAAGUAUGACUGCAAAAUCACAAAAAAAAACAUGGUUCGAAAGUAAAAGAUUACAAAGGAAAGAGAAACCGUGGAUGGAAGAAGAAUCGACGAUGGUCUUGGCAGGAAUCAACAUUUACAAUCCAUCAUCUCAAGAUCAUAACUGUCAAUUGAUCUACACCACACCUAAAACUAUGUCUCUAAGAUCCUAUUUAUAGACUCAUAAUUAGUCCGACUUACAAUAGGAUUUAGAACCAUAUCAUGAAUCGAUCAUAAACCUUUACUCCUAAGGAUAAACUCCAAGAAUCCUAGAUAGACUAGAAUAACUUACCAAAAACCUUCCGAAGUAAAGAAUCCAAAACAUACCAGAAAUGAUCCCAAUAUGUCGACGGCCAUUGAUGUUCUGGUUAUGUGGUUCAUGUAUGUAAUUCACUGUUUGUGUUUCGUCUCCUUUCUGAUUGAUGCUGCUAUUUGGGCUUGAUAUUUGGGCCGUCUUAAUUAGACCCGAAACCCGAAUCCAAAGAAAACCCGUAUCCAUAACCCACUAAGCCAACAACGUACAAGAGAGAGAGAAGCGGAGAAGAAACACUAAACAAAGAAAGCAUCUCCGUUUUGCCCGAACCCUUUCUCCUCCUCCUUGGUUUUCAGAUCACCCUGAAAACCCUAAAUUUCUCAUGAAAAACCCUACAAUUACGACAUUGCCCCUCCCCUCCUCCUCUCUCUGAUUCACCUCGCCGGCGCUGCUGCUCAACUCAACUCUCCGACGACCAUGUCUCUCCCGCCCGUAGAGCGUGCACACAUCAACGAGGAUCACCUCCGUGAAUGGAAGACCGGAAACCCUAGCUUCAAGCUACCGGAGCCUGUUCCGAUGCUCCGGUUCCUCUACGAGCUCUGCUCCACCAUGGUGAGAGCUCAGAAACGCUUUUCCUUUCUUUCGAUAUACGAUUAUGUGAACGGAGGAGCUUUUUGGAUUGAUGAAUUUGAAUUGCUGCCGUCAGGUUCGUGGAGAAUUGCCGGUUCAGAAGUGUAGAGCGGCUCUGGAUUCGGUGGAGUUUUCUGAAAAGGUUUCCGAGCAAGAGCUGGCUUCAAGCUUGGCUGAUAUUGUUACUCAAAUGUCUCAAGAUGUGAGUUUGUUGUAAUUUGCUUUUCAUGCUUGGAAUUUGUUGAAUGCGUUUGUUUUCGGUGAGGUUUUGCAUUCAGUUGCUGUAAUCAGAUUGAGCUGUGAUAUUACAUAUUGGAGAAAUGUGUAUGGAAAUGGUUUAGGAUAAUGAGUAAUUUUAAUCAGAGCGUGGCAAUUGCAUGCUCUCAAGCAACCAGUAGGAAGUAGAAUGGUCUUAAGAUUGCUUCAUGCGGUGCCUCUGUACAUGCUUUCAAUGUAGAUUUUAUGUUCCGAGCAUACUAGUUUUUAUUAAUUUUUGAUGUCACUAACCUGCUUAUGCUGUUGUUUGUCUUCCUAUUCUUACUGACACUUAGAUGUUCAUUAACUUGCAGCUUACCAUGCCUGGAGAGCAUCGAGCUCGUCUCACAAAGCUGGUUAGUUCUUGGUUUUAAAAGUCACUAGAUUUGAAAAACAGGCCUUCAACUUAGUUACUGGUGUUCAUUGUCCUCUUGCCACUUCAUUCUAGUAAAGUGGAACAAUCUUAUCCUUUUCAUAUAAUUGACGAUGCAUAGUAAAGACUGAAAGUUCUUUUCUAUUUGUCCACACUGCACAUUCUCUUUUACUUUUUUGAUU